Molecule: RNA transcript, 2021 nt
Organism: Oncorhynchus gorbuscha (pink salmon)
Lineage: Eukaryota; Metazoa; Chordata; Actinopteri; Salmoniformes; Salmonidae
Gene name: acidic fibroblast growth factor intracellular-binding protein B-like
Exons: 12
Source: RefSeq, a predicted model, not a curated record
CUGGUUACAUAUUUAACAUGCUGAGAGAAAUUUGGUAAAACUGAUUUAGUUUCCCUGCAUCAAAGUCCUCAGCCACUAGGAGUGCUGCCUCUGGAUGAGCGUUUUCCUGUUUGCUUAUGGCGGUAUACAGCUCAUUGAGUGCGGUUUUAGUGCCGUCAUCGGUCUGGGGUGGUUUGUAGACAGCUACAAAAAUACAGAUGACAACUCUCUAGGGUGAUAGUGUGGUCUACAGCUUAUCAUGAGAUAAUCUACCUCAUGCGAGCAAAACUUCAAGACUUCCUUAGAUAUCGUGCACCAGCUGUUGUUUACAAAUAUGCAUAGGCCCCCGCCUUGUGUCUUACCAGAGGCUGCUGUUCUAUCCUGCCGAUGGAGUGUAUAACCCGCCAGCUGUAUGUUAUUAAUGUCGUCGUUAAGCUACGAUUUGGUGAAACAUAAGAUAGUACAGUUUUUAAUGUCCCGUUGGUAGGAUAUGUGCUUUCAGUUUAUUGCAUUUAUUUUCCAGUGAUUGAACGUUAGCUAACAGUACUGAUGGCAAAAGGCAGAUUAGCCACUCUUUGUCUGAUCCUCACAAGGCACACCGAUCUCUUUCUGCAAAAAUCUCAGUUUCUUUCUCCAGCGUAUGAUGAGGAUGAGGGCCUGUUCGGGUGUUUGGAGUAUAUCCUUCCCAUCCGACUCAUGAAAUAAAAAUUAUUUAUCCAAUUCGAGAUGUCAGUGGAACUCGAUGUGUUUGUGGGUAACACCACCAUUAUGGAUGAGGAAGUCUAUCAGUUCUGGCUGGAUGGUUACACAGUGAAUGAUGCAGUGAAGGUACGUAUGGAGGGAGGGGUAUUGGAGGAGUGUGAGGCCAGUGCUGAGGUUUUGCGCAGUGACACCAUGGACCAGUACAGAACCUUCCAGAUGUGUGAGCGCCUCCUGCACAGCCCCGCCAAACUGGCCAAUCAGCUGCUGUUCCAGAUCCCACCUCAUCGCCAAACCAUGCUCAUAGAGAGGUACUAUACGUUCGAUGGCGUGUUUGUACGAGAGGUCCUUGGGAAGAAACUCUCAAAGGGGACCAAGAAGGACCUGGAUGAUGUCAGUGCAAAGACUGGUGUCACACUGAAGAGCUGCAGGCGGCAGUUUGAUAACUUCAAGCGUGUAUUCAAAGUUGUGGAGGAACUGAAGGGACCCCUGGUGGAAAACAUUCGUCAGCACUUCCUUCUCUCUGACAAGCUGGCCAGGGAUUACGCUGCCAUUGUUUUCUUUGCCAACAAUCGCUUUGAGACGGGGAAGAAGAAGCUGCAUUAUCUUACAUUCCAGGACUUUGCCUUCUGUGCAGGGCAGCUCAUCAGCAACUGGACCGUGGGAGCAUUGGAUAACAUGGUGGAAGACAUGGAUGUGGAUCUUGAGAAGGAGUUCUUACAAGAUCUAAAGGAACUGAAGAUUUUAAUUACUGACAAGGAUCUGCUGGACCAGCACAAGAGUUUGGUGUGCACGGCUCUCCGGGGGAAGACCAAAGCAUUUAAUGAGAUGGAAGCCAACUUCAAGAAUCUCUCCAGAGGCCUUGUCAACAUUGCUGCCAAAUUAACCAACACGAAAGAUGUCAGAGACUUCUUUAUUGAUCUGGUGGAAAAGUUUAUUGAGCCGUGUCGGUCAGACAAAUGGACAGCAGGAGACAUGAGGCUCUUCCUCACUCACUACACUAACUCUGCACACAUUCUUGACACAUUCAAGGCCAUAGAGGCAGGAGCAGGACAGAUAGAGGGACCACUUCUGCUCUCCACACUCACACCACAUCAGGGACCACCACCGCCAGGGGACUAGAACAGCACUACACGGACUCAAACCAGGGACCUGAAGAUCACAGGAAGAAGACGAAUUCACACAAAGGAAGAAGACUUGCCUAUACCGCUGCGCUGCUCUGAGCACCACGACAAGCCGGCAGCUUCUCUCGUCCUGACCGGAGGCACCGCUACCUGUGUGACCCGCCGGCUGUGCCAGGGUGUGUGUUUACGUGUGUGAUCCGGUCCUAUCUGCCAGUCAGU